GGGGGUGAUACGGCUUCGACGGAGUUACUCAAACGAGGCUGCAAGCGGAGCGUCUGCCAUCUCCAUAAACUGGCGGAAAAACAAUAACUGCGAACACUGCGGAUUACGCAUUCGCUGCUCCUUCCCUAAACUAGGGGAGGCCGUCUGACGGGGAGCCUCGCCGGCCCCGGAAAGGCGUCGACUAAGGCGGGUAUAUCGCGUUCGGGCGCUUCCCCCGGCGCGACGAACCUCGGGAAGCUGGGUUCGGGCCAUCCCGCCCGUGGGAGGGCCGGUUCCGAGAUGAAAACGCGGGUCUAAGCUUGUAGACGCCGAGUGGCUGUAUCUCCGGACGCGGGUUCGACUCCCGCCACCUCCACCA
This 358-nucleotide transfer-messenger RNA is filed under the name Candidatus Acetothermia bacterium. It matches the Rfam family "transfer-messenger RNA". From Rfam's summary of the family: Bacterial tmRNA, also known as 10Sa RNA or SsrA, is named for its dual tRNA and mRNA-like properties. Its role is to liberate the mRNA from a stalled ribosome. To accomplish this part of the tmRNA is used as a reading frame that ends in a translation stop signal. Lineage: Bacteria; Candidatus Bipolaricaulota. RNAcentral also lists the same sequence under 1 other name. The record is from RNAcentral.